RNAcentral lists this ribosomal RNA (245 nucleotides) under uncultured Desulfomonile sp. Its description in RNAcentral is "partial 16S ribosomal RNA". It matches the Rfam family "Bacterial small subunit ribosomal RNA", at positions 524 to 768 of the family's 1533-position model. The record is from RNAcentral. Lineage: Bacteria; Pseudomonadati; Thermodesulfobacteriota; Desulfomonilia; Desulfomonilales; Desulfomonilaceae.
GACGGAGGGUGCAAGCGUUGUUCGGAAUCACUGGGCGUAAAGCGCGUGUAGGCGGUUGAAUAAGUCGGAUGUGAAAGCCCGGAGCUCAACUCCGGAAGUGCAUUCGAAACUGUUCGGCUCGAGUACGGGAGAGGGAAGUGGAAUUCCUGGUGUAGAGGUGAAAUUCGUAGAUAUCAGGAGGAACACCGGUGGCGAAGGCGGCUUCCUGGACCGAUACUGACGCUGAGACGCGAAAGCGUGGGGAG